CGAGAGCCGAACUUUUACUACGAGUGGUCUACUCCAAACUUCUACUACGAGCGGUCUACUCCGAACUUCUAUUACGAGCGGUCUACUCCAAACUCCUAUAGCGGGCGGUCUACCACGGAUCUCUACUGUAAGCAAAUUUCAUUCGAGCCUCUAUUGUAAACACAUUUCUUCCGAACUUCUAUUACAGGUAGACUUCAGUCGAGCUUCUUCAUAGCCGGAUCCCAGACGAGUUUCUACAAUGGGACGGGACCCACCGGCCAGAUCGCUACUCU
This 272-nucleotide long non-coding RNA is filed under the name Elaeis guineensis (African oil palm). RNAcentral's name for it is "long non-coding RNA (EGUI_LNC078225)". Lineage: Eukaryota; Viridiplantae; Streptophyta; Magnoliopsida; Arecales; Arecaceae. The record is from RNAcentral.